This is a long non-coding RNA of Tupaia belangeri chinensis (Chinese tree shrew), 946 nucleotides long. RefSeq lists it as uncharacterized. The record is from RefSeq and is a predicted model, not a curated record. The transcript is spliced from 3 exons. NCBI's taxonomy places the organism in Eukaryota, Metazoa, Chordata, Mammalia, Scandentia, Tupaiidae.
ACGGGACAGAAAAGUCACACGCUGCCGCCCAGCCUGGGUGAGGUCUGGGUGAAAUGGAAACUUCCUGUUUAUUUUAGUCCCCAGCAGCCCUGGGGGCAGGGAGGGAGUAGAGAUUGAAGCCAGAGCUGUUGCUCUCGAAAAGAAUCAUCAAAACUGCUGGAUCCGUCCAGAAAGUGGUGGCUUUGACGAUCAGAGCCAUGCUGUGCAGGCUAAAGGAUGUGAACUCUGUCAAACAGCAGCUCAAAGGCUGAGUCAGACGUGGCUGAGUCUCAAGCCUUCCUCACCCCAGCUACUUCCUUGUCAAUAUCUCUAAUCGCUCUGCAUCUUGGGCCUUCCUUGAGAUUAGCACCUGAACUGCCACCAUUAAUCCCUCCUAUAACCCCUUUCCACCAGCACUACCCUGGGGGAUCUGAACUGAACUGAACCAGUCCCGGACCAUGCAACACCUCCGAGCAGUUCCAGGUCAUUCUCAGGAUGGUAGACAAAUAGGGCCUCCAAGCUCCGCCCAGGGAUGCUCAAACUGGGACAUGGCUGUGCAGCCACAUAUGCCAAGGAUGCAGGGGACCUGGAACCCUCCUUCGUUGCUGGAGAGAUUGGUCCACUCUUGGAGAACACGAACGAAGUGACAGAAGCUGCUCAAAGAUCUGCUUCAUUGAAGGUGAAGAGACCAAUACAAAUGAGAGAAGAGCUUAUGUCUGAUAUGAGGAAACGUCUAUUGACCUGGAUUGAAGACCAGACACAGAAAUAUAUCCCUCUCAACGCCAUGAUAAUCACGGCCUAAGCAAAAUUUUGUUUGUGAUGUUGAAAGAAAAAGAUGGCCCCGACUGGGAUGUCGAAUUUCCUGCUAGCUCUGGGCAGUCUAAACGAUGCAAGAAUUGUUAUUCAUUACAUCAUGAAAAAGUGAGUGGUGGGGCUGGCAAGUGGCAUGGUGGUUGGAGGUGCUGGA